RNAcentral lists this ribosomal RNA (685 nucleotides) under Salmonella enterica subsp. enterica serovar Agona. RNAcentral describes it as "partial 16S ribosomal RNA". It matches the Rfam family "Bacterial small subunit ribosomal RNA", at positions 860 to 1533 of the family's 1533-position model. Lineage: Bacteria; Pseudomonadati; Pseudomonadota; Gammaproteobacteria; Enterobacterales; Enterobacteriaceae. The record is from RNAcentral. RNAcentral also lists the same sequence under 1 other name.
UUAAGUAGACCGCCUGGGGAGUACGGCCGCAAGGUUAAAACUCAAAUGAAUUGACGGGGGCCCGCACAAGCGGUGGAGCAUGUGGUUUAAUUCGAUGCAACGCGAAGAACCUUACCUGGUCUUGACAUCCACGGAAGUUUUCAGAGAUGAGAAUGUGCCUUCGGGAACCGUGAGACAGGUGCUGCAUGGCUGUCGUCAGCUCGUGUUGUGAAAUGUUGGGUUAAGUCCCGCAACGAGCGCAACCCUUAUCCUUUGUUGCCAGCGAUUCGGUCGGGAACUCAAAGGAGACUGCCAGUGAUAAACUGGAGGAAGGUGGGGAUGACGUCAAGUCAUCAUGGCCCUUACGACCAGGGCUACACACGUGCUACAAUGGCGCAUACAAAGAGAAGCGACCUCGCGAGAGCAAGCGGACCUCAUAAAGUGCGUCGUAGUCCGGAUUGGAGUCUGCAACUCGACUCCAUGAAGUCGGAAUCGCUAGUAAUCGUGGAUCAGAAUGCCACGGUGAAUACGUUCCCGGGCCUUGUACACACCGCCCGUCACACCAUGGGAGUGGGUUGCAAAAGAAGUAGGUAGCUUAACCUUCGGGAGGGCGCUUACCACUUUGUGAUUCAUGACUGGGGUGAAGUCGUAACAAGGUAACCGUAGGGGAACCUGCGGUUGGAUCACCUCCUUACCUGAAAGAAGC